UUUGGCUAACCUGCAGAAAGCCUAUUGUCAUGCUUCACUGAGCUCUCUUCCCUCUUUAUGGUUAAGUGAACCUCAAAACAAUGACAAAGAAAUAUGCACUGAGUCACAUAUUCUAAGAAAUAGACUGUACUCUCCUCAAAUCGAAAUAACGGCACUUUAAUUCUUGGAUUUUCCACAUUUUCGUUGCUAAAGCUCCUAUUUGCUUUCUCUGAAUCUGUAUCAGUUCAUGCAGUUCUGCCAAGUGGGGAAGCUUUGCAGGACACUGCCACUGUAGCACUUGAAAUAUUAAGAUGAACAGAACAAGCAAAAGGUGGGAAAACUGGAAAGAUUGAAUGUCCUUUGGAGUUCACAGAGGUUUGGCAGUGGGAGGAGAAAAACAAAACGAAGCAUAGUGGGAGUGUUGAACAGACUUUCCCAAGAUCCCCAGGGAAAUCGACAAAGAGUAUUGCUUCCUUGCAAAUUGGCAGGAAGGUUUCCAGCAUAAUAAAAGAGUGCAGAAAAAACAACUUAAUUCAAGGAUAAAACUGGGAAUAAGUAGAAGAGAAGA
Non-coding RNA from Chlorocebus sabaeus (green monkey), 547 nucleotides. NCBI's taxonomy places the organism in Eukaryota, Metazoa, Chordata, Mammalia, Primates, Cercopithecidae. The record is from RefSeq and is a predicted model, not a curated record.